RNAcentral lists this long non-coding RNA (1492 nucleotides) under Medicago truncatula (barrel medic). RNAcentral's name for it is "long non-coding RNA (MTRU_LNC007612)". The record is from RNAcentral. Lineage: Eukaryota; Viridiplantae; Streptophyta; Magnoliopsida; Fabales; Fabaceae.
AAAAGUGAGAAAUUUACAAAGGACGUUGGAUCCCAAGCAAAUUCUCAAGUAAGUGAACCGAAAAUUACUAAUAGUUUUGAUUUUAAGAAAAUUUUUGAAGUCCGAUAAUUAACCUAAAUAUCACUAAUUCAUUUUGGUCCUUGAUCGCGAUUAUGACUUAAAAUGGUAAAAAUAAAGUUUGGUGUUGGUGCUACUUCUCAUUUAUGGAUAUUUACAAGGGACCUAGAUACAUGCUAAAGUCUCAAGCAAAAUGUAAAUAACAAGAAAAAUAAAAAUGCAUGAAUUAUAUUACAUCAAUUCCUAAAUACACACUAAAAAUCAAUGACAAUAAAAUAAAUGACAUGAAUUAAAAUAUGCAUGAGAGAAUUCUAAAUAAUAAUGCAAAUAUACUCUAGAAAUAAUUAAAAAAAACAGUAAAUGAACAAUUAACACAAAGCAAAAUAUUUUUUAAAGAAAAAAAAAACAGAGAAAAUGGUGUAAAAAUUAAAACAGUGGUGCAUUUAGCAAAACAGUAGAGAAAAAUUAAAUGAAAAUUGGCUCAGACUGGAUGAAUCUGGACCACUUGAUGAAUCAGGAGGUCCAGAUUCAAUCACUGUAUCAUCUUAUCACAGCCACUGGAUCAGAUAUCCAAGGGUUUUAAAAAAAACAGCACAAAAACAGAGAAAUAACACAAGAAACACAAUGACAGUCAAAGAUCUGACGGUUCAAACAGAAAAGACACUUUAGUUCACAUAGGAGAACACAUACAAGAUUUAAAACCAGAUCACACAGUAGCCAUCAGAUCUUGGAACUAUCCAGAUCUGAUGGCUCACAACACGAGGGAACACUGAAUUGCAGUUUACGCGCGUAUACAUGAUUGGACAAAAACAUCCAAUUUUUUUAACGUUUUUAAACAUCCAUUUUCUUGCUUUACAUGAAUCCGAGCUUAAUUUUUGAAAACAAGUCCCAAACGGAGUAGAUUUGAGUUUUAACUUAAAAAAUUUUCAAAGAGAAAACACAAAAACGUGGAAAAAAAUCUUCUACAUCUUUACCUCGAGUUGAAUCCGCUACGGUUUACCUCCUCUCCGUUGAACCACGCUCUGAUAUACUCUUUUUGCUCCGGUCCGGUUCUCUUCUUUCACUUCGGUCCGCGUUUAAGCCUUGUGCGGUUCGGUCUCGGUGGUUCCAAAGAAACCCGUAAGGUUUUGGGUUUUAAUGCUCAAAUCCGGAUUGGUUCUGUGAUUUUCAAGUAUUUGAGUAUAUUUGUGAUGAUUUUAAGACUUUUUGAGCAUUUAUGGUGAUUUUGGUUUGAAGGUUCUAUGGAGAAAAAAUUGUGAUGUUCUUGAUGUUCAUCACAAUUUUGUGAUGAUUUUUGUGGUUUGAUUUGAAAAGAGAAGAGAAAAAAAGUUUUUGGUGUUUGUGAAAUGACUACUACAGCUUUUUCUGACGCGUUUUUUCUGAGUGUGUCAGUGCAAUAAAUGGGGCCUUAAAUAGGAUAAAAUUCGGGUAUCCC